UGCGGAGGGAUCAUUACCGAGUUUACAACUCCCAAACCCCUGUGAACAUACCUAUACGUUGCCUCGGCGGAUCAGCCCGCGCCCCGUAAAACGGGACGGCCCGCCCGAGGACCCCUAAACUCUGUUUUUAGUGGAACUUCUGAGUAAAACAAACAAAUAAAUCAAAACUUUCAACAACGGAUCUCUUGGUUCUGGCAUCGAUGAAGAACGCAGCAAAAUGCGAUAAGUAAUGUGAAUUGCAGAAUUCAGUGAAUCAUCGAAUCUUUGAACGCACAUUGCGCCCGCCAGUAUUCUGGCGGGCAUGCCUGUUCGAGCGUCAUUUCAACCCUCAAGCUCAGCUUGGUGUUGGGACUCGCGGUAACCCGCGUUCCCCAAAUCGAUUGGCGGUCACGUCGAGCUUCCAUAGCGUAGUAAUCAUACACCUCGUUACUGGUAAUCGUCGCGGCCACGCCGUUAAACCCCAACUUCUGAAUGUUGACCUCGGAUCAGGUAGGAAUACCCGCUGAACUUAAGCAU
This 516-nucleotide ribosomal RNA is filed under the name Fusarium equiseti. RNAcentral's name for it is "eukaryotic LSU rRNA". The stretch from base 166 to 319 matches the Rfam family "5.8S ribosomal RNA". The record is from RNAcentral. Lineage: Eukaryota; Fungi; Ascomycota; Sordariomycetes; Hypocreales; Nectriaceae.